GACGAACGCUGGCGGCGUGCUUAACACAUGCAAGUCGAACGGAAAGGCCCUGCUUUUGUGGGGUGCUCGAGUGGCGAACGGGUGAGUAACACGUGAGUAACCUGCCCUUGACUUUGGGAUAACUUCAGGAAACUGGGGCUAAUACCGGAUAGGAGCUCCUGCUGCAUGGUGGGGGUUGGAAAGUUUCGGCGGUUGGGGAUGGACUCGCGGCUUAUCAGCUUGUUGGUGGGGUAGUGGCUUACCAAGGCUUUGACGGGUAGCCGGCCUGAGAGGGUGACCGGCCACAUUGGGACUGCGAUACGGCCCAGACUCCUACGGGAGGCAGCAGUGGGGAAUAUUGCACAAUGGCCGGAAGCCUGAUGCAGCAACGCCGCGUGCGGGAUGACGGCCUUCGGGUUGUAAACCGCUUUCGCCUGUGACGAAGCGUGAGUGGCGGUAAUGGGUAAAGAAGCACCGGCUAACUACGUG
Molecule: ribosomal RNA, 468 nt
Filed under: uncultured bacterium
Lineage: Bacteria
Description: partial 16S ribosomal RNA
Rfam family: Bacterial small subunit ribosomal RNA
Source: RNAcentral